GUGCUCGCUUGGGCAGCACAUACACUAAAAUUGGAACGAUACAGAAAAGAUUAGCAUGGCCCCUGCGCAAGGAUGACGCACAAAUUCGUGAAGUGUUCCAUAUUUUU
RNAcentral lists this small nuclear RNA (107 nucleotides) under Vombatus ursinus (common wombat). The record is from RNAcentral. Lineage: Eukaryota; Metazoa; Chordata; Mammalia; Diprotodontia; Vombatidae.